CGCGAGUGGAGACCAGAAACCAUCAGAAAAAACGGGGCGAAACCGAAAAGCCUUAUGAGUAGGAAAAAU
Regulatory RNA element from Capnocytophaga canimorsus Cc5, 69 nucleotides. It matches the Rfam family "DUF805 RNA". The record is from Rfam. NCBI's taxonomy places the organism in Bacteria, Pseudomonadati, Bacteroidota, Flavobacteriia, Flavobacteriales, Flavobacteriaceae.